UACGGGGGGGGCAAGCGUUGUUCGGAAUUACUGGGCGUAAAGGGCUCGUAGGCGGCCAACUAAGUCGGAUGUGAAAUCCCCAGGCUUAACCUGGGAACUGCAUCCGAUACUGGAUGGCUUGAAUUCGGGAGAGGGAUGCAGAAUUCCAGGUGUAGCGGUGAAAUGCGCAGAUAUCAGGAAGAACACCCGUGGCGAAAGCGGCUCUCUGGAACGGUACUGACGCUGAGACGCGAAAGCGUGGGGAGCGAACAGG
RNAcentral lists this ribosomal RNA (253 nucleotides) under uncultured bacterium. RNAcentral's name for it is "partial 16S ribosomal RNA". It matches the Rfam family "Bacterial small subunit ribosomal RNA", at positions 524 to 776 of the family's 1533-position model. The record is from RNAcentral.